UUGCAAGCUGCAGGAAACAUUAAAUUCCAAAACCAGAAAGAGACAAAAGGUUUACAAGUGAUGAAAAUUUGUGUGAACUAAAGAAAUAUUGGGAUUAGAUCAAUAUAACAAAAGUUAAAAAGCAAUCUUUCGAAGUGGACAAAGUAAGAAUUUCAAGUAUAAAUCAAACUUUUUGUUAAUAAAAAAGAGUUGAAUCAGACAAAUUGGUUUUGGUUGUUGGGAGAGGCAUAUAAAAAGCACAAGAAACAAAAGCUCACCCUGUUGAUGAACGCUAUCAUGUGAAACAAAAUGCCAG
Molecule: unclassified non-coding RNA, 295 nt
Filed under: Hevea brasiliensis (rubber tree)
Lineage: Eukaryota; Viridiplantae; Streptophyta; Magnoliopsida; Malpighiales; Euphorbiaceae
Source: RNAcentral